Molecule: ribosomal RNA, 1281 nt
Filed under: Dinocampus coccinellae
Lineage: Eukaryota; Metazoa; Arthropoda; Insecta; Hymenoptera; Braconidae
Description: 16S ribosomal RNA
Source: RNAcentral
UAUAAAAUAAUUUAUACAUUUAGUCCUUACAUUUUAAAUUUUUAUUAAUUAAAAAUAUAUUUUCAUUAUUAGUUAUUAAAAAAUAAAUUAAAUUUAUAAUUAAUUAUAAUUGGCAAUAAAAACUUAAAUAAAAAAAAGUAAAAUAAUUAUUUUAUACCUUUUGUAUCAGGGAUUAUCAAAUUAAAUUUUAAAUAAAAUUUUCUCGAAAUAAAAAAAUUUAAAAUUUUAAUUUUAUUAAUAUACCAAUAUUAAAUAAAAUAAAAUUUUAGAAAUUAUAAAUUAAUCAAUUUUUAUUAUAUCUAGUUAUUUAAGAAAUGAAUUUAAUUCAUAUACUUAAAAUUUUGAUUUAUUAAUAAAUACUUAAGUAUAAAAAAUUUUAGGGAUAAACUUAAAAUUUUUAUUAUAAUUAAUAACUUAAAUUUUAAAAUAUAAAAUUUAAAAUUUUUACUAUUAAAAAAAAAUUAAUAAUUUAUUUAUAUAUUAAAUAAUUAAUUUAUAAUAAUUUAAAAAAAUAUUAAAUUAAUUUUUAAAACAUAAUUUAAAAUAAAAUAAUGAUAAUAUUAGUAAAUUUUAAAUUUAAUAAUAAAAAUAUUAUUAAUAUAUUAAAUUAAGGAACUCGGCAAAUUUAAUAUUCACCUGUUUAACAAAAACAUGUCUUUUUGAUAUUAAUUUAAAGUCUAAUCUGCUCAAUGAAAUUUAAAUAGCUGCAGUAUCAAUAACUGUACAAAGGUAGCAUAAUAAUUAGAUUUUUAAUUAAAAUCUAGAAUGAAUGAUUGAAUGAAAUAUUUACUGUCUUAAUUUAAUUACCAUUAAAUUUAAUUUUUAAGUUAAAAAUCUUAAAUAUUUUUAAAAGACGAGAAGACCCCAUAGAAUUUAAUAUUAUUUUAUUUAAUAAUAAAUAAAUAUUACCAUAUUAAUUAAAUUUAAUAUUUAAUUGGGGAAAUUUAAAAAUUUAAUAAACUUUUUAUUUAUUUAGUAACAUAAAUUUAUGAACCGUUAAUCUUUUAUUAAAAAUUAAAAAAAAUAAUUACCUUGGGGAUAACAGCAUAAUUUUUUUUUAAAGUCCAAAUUAAAAAAAAAGUUUAUGACCUCGAUGUUGAAUUAAGAAUAAUUAAGAAGAAAAAAUCUUAAAAUUUAAGUCUGUUCGACUUUUAAAUUCUUACAUGAUUUGAGUUAAGAUCGGCGUAAGCCAGAUCGGAUUCUAUCUUUAAAAUAUAAUAAAUAUUUUUGUACGAAAGGAAUAAAUAUUUAAAAUAAUUUUUAAAUUUUAAAUAAAUAUAA